RNAcentral lists this long non-coding RNA (700 nucleotides) under Heterocephalus glaber (naked mole-rat). RNAcentral describes it as "lncRNA (ENSHGLG00100032264.2)". Lineage: Eukaryota; Metazoa; Chordata; Mammalia; Rodentia; Bathyergidae. The record is from RNAcentral.
GGACAGUGUGUGAAGGGAUAACAAGAUCCUCUCACCACAUGGUCUGUUAAGGGAGAAAGAAAUAACAAAGCUUUUAUUUCCUUUAUGGAAAGCAAAGAAGCAGAAAAACUAUGUUUACAGAAGACAGAUCUUGGGGAGAUGUGGAGAGAAGAGGUCCUAAUUGGAUUAUUCACCAUGGAAGCCGUGAGAAGAUGCUGAAACAGAGAAGAUGGUUCACCAUCUGCUUAAUUUUUCCCAUGAAAGAGCCGAGCUUUCCAGAAGGAUUUCAGAAACCCUUCCAGGUGCACAUGGAAUAUCCACCAAGAACAGGCGCCAUGAAACGCCAAUGUACAGGCUGUAUUCCACAUAUCAGGUGCACCACUAUGCCCACUGCUGAUGGUGACACGGAGUAACAGAUGGCACUGCCAGGGCUACAGGUGCCUCGGAAUGGAGCCUUUUGAAGACUAAGCCAAGGCAGUGGCCUGAAAACUACUCAGUGAUACAGAAACCGAAGUUAUUGGAAAUUGGGGGGAGGGAAUUUAAAAAAACAGUGAUUAUCUUUUAAUAAAUGACUGUCUUCCAGAAGUAUUAAAGCUUUUGCUCACAGACGCAACCUGGCCUAUUUGUGGCUCAACACAAAAGCUCAGAGUUGGUGAGCCCCAAGAGGUCACCCCCCAGCGCAGCCCAGACCCAGAGAGACAACCCCAGCUCUAAAUGUUGA